Non-coding RNA from Salmo salar (Atlantic salmon), 72 nucleotides. NCBI's taxonomy places the organism in Eukaryota, Metazoa, Chordata, Actinopteri, Salmoniformes, Salmonidae. The record is from Rfam.
UCCCGUGUGGCUCAGAUGGUAGAGCAUGGUGUUUGCAUCACCAGGGUUGUGGGUUCAAUUCCCACAGGGGAC